Molecule: long non-coding RNA, 29684 nt
Filed under: Ananas comosus (pineapple)
Lineage: Eukaryota; Viridiplantae; Streptophyta; Magnoliopsida; Poales; Bromeliaceae
Description: long non-coding RNA (ACOM_LNC026854)
Source: RNAcentral
GGGGAGAGCGUAGAUGAAGGGGGAGAGCAUGGAUGAGCAUGUUUUGAACUGAAGCAGAGGAUGAUAAGUUCAAGAACAAAGGGGGAGAGCAUGGAUGAGCAUGGAUGAAGGGGGAGAGCAUGAAUGAGCAGAAAAUCAAGACAUCAAGACUCCUAGUUGUGUCUAAGUCAUAGAGUCUGUUUUAGGAGUUUUGAUAUAAUUUUGAGUUUCAAAUUGUAUUUGGAUUACACGCGAGGGGUUCGAUGUUUUGGUGAGGACAUUGAACUUCGGUUUUUCUUUAAAUUGUAAUUUGUGAGCUUUUGUGUGUUUUGUCACGAAAUUGCCAAAGGGGGAGAUUGUUAGGUCCUAUGUGUUGGCAAGUUUCGUGGGUCGAGUCGGAGUCUUGAAGAAGUCCGGAGCGGAGUAUUGAAGAUCGAAGAAUCCAAGACUUCGAAGAAGCGGAAAGAACGCAAAACACGUAAAACAUGAAUCACGAUGCUUAGGUAAGCUUUAAAUCUUGUUUAUGGUGAUUCAUACUUAUUUAUAGAUCUUAGAAUCAUAUUUUCAAGUUGUAAUAAAUUAGAAAGUUUCUAAGAGUUUGUAAAAUCCGAAACAAUGCAUUUUCAGCGAAAAUUGCAUUGUUGUACCGGUACAAGGGUUUUCUGUCCAGGGUACAGCCAUCAGUGUUUGCGCGGAUCGUUUGAUGGUUGUUCCGGUACAACCUUCACGCUGUACCGGUACAAGCCCUGUUCCGGAACAAGCUGCAGCCUAUCCAGGGUACAGAAGCUUCGCAGAAAAAUCUUCCGUCAUGCUGUACCCUGGACAGCUUUCCUUGUUCCGGUACAAGGUGCUGAUUUUGGAAAGAAACUUUCUAAUUCUACUCCGUUUUGAUUCUAAAGUCUAUAAAUAAGCUAGAGGGGUUCUCUAACUAAUAAAGCAUCAUAAGAAUACAUGUUUGAGAAACCCUAGAGGCUCGGAUUUCAUUCUAAACCUAUUUUCUACAAAUUAGCCUCUUUAGAUCAAAUUGAGAUAACGUUUCGCAUUCGCUAUAUGUCGAUUUGAUCUAGUUUUCGCUUGGAGUUUUCUUCUUUGGUUUUCUACGAUACUCCUAAGCGAAGGAGCACCAUAAUCAUGAUACUCUUCAUGAACGGCGUCGUGGAUUCGGCGUGAACAAAGGCGGUUCGUGGAUUCGGAUCGUUUGCUCGUGGAUUCGAGUGGCGUCGUGGAUUCGACGUGAUUGAAGCUUCGUGGAUUCGAAGUGGAGGCGUUCGUGGAUUCGAACGUGAGGGCGUGGACAACCCGGAGGGUAGCGCGAAGAUUCAUAGGAGGUUAAGAGAGGUUGAGUCCGUGGAGUCGGUAAUCACCUUGUAAUCUUUUCUCUUAGUGAAUUAUUUUUUCGCGUGUUGGUCCCGUGGGUUUUUCUCCAAGUUGGAGUUUUCCCACGUAAAUCUCGGUGUGCUUUUUAUUUUCCGCAUUUAUUUUUAUUGCAUUGAGAUUUGUGGUUUUUGGCCGUUCACCUAUUCACCCCCCUCUAGGUGAUAGAUACAAUCUAGAUAGAUCCUUGGGCUACUCAAAACUUUCAAUUGGUAUCAGAGUAGGAUCUAGAUAAAUUGUUUUCUAAUGGCCGAAGACGGUAACGUUAAUCGACCACCACUCUUCGAUGGCACGAAUUAUGCCUAUUGGAAAGUUCGCAUGAGAGCUUUUCUAAUUGCAAUCGAUGAGCGUGUUUGGAAAGCUAUUGAAUUUGGUUGGGAGCACCCUACCGAAGUUGUCAAUAACGCUACCGUUCCUAAACCACGGAACAAGUGAACAAAAGAUGAAAACGAGUCAUCUUCGUUUAACGGUAAAGGAAUUAAUGCUUUAUUCAACGCUUUAUCGCAAACGGAGUUUACUCGGGUUUCGGCAUGCGAAACGGCAAAGGAAAUUUGGGAUACUCUACAAGUUACGCAUGAAGGAACAAGCUUAGUAAAGGUCCAAAAAUUGCAAAUGCUAACUAGCAAGUUUGAUUCUAUUUCUAUGGAUGAAAACGAGACCUUUACCGAGUACUAUGCACGUCUACAAGAUGUUGUGAAUACAUGUGCUAACUUGGGAGAGAAAAUUUCGGAUUCUAAGGUUAUUAGAAAGAUUCUUCGAACUCUUCCGGAAUGUUUUCGGGCUAAAGUAGCCGCGAUCGAAACGGUCAAACAUCCGGAUGAGAUGAAAGUCGAGGAAUUAGUAGGUGCUUUACAAACUUAUGAAAUGACCUUUCCUACUAAUCAAUUUUCUUCCAAGUCUUCUUCUAAAAGCACAGGUGUUGCAUUGAAAUCUACAAAGAAGAAGAACGAAGACUCGAGUUCCGACGAUGACUUAUCAAUUGCGGACUUUGAACAACAAUUGGCGCUUCUCACGAAGAAGUUUCGUCGAAAUUUUCGGAACAAGAAUAGAUUGGACAAGGCUUCAUCGUCCAAGCGACAAUCUUUGUCUAAAUCAUCUUCAUCUUCAAAGUCUAAGGAUAAAAGCCGUGCAAAGUCUUCAAAGGAAAAGGAUGUAUUUGAAGGCGAGAUCCAAUGCUUCAAGUGCAAAGGCUACGGCCAUAUUGCGACGGAUUGUCCUUCAAAGAAGAUGUAUAGACAAAAGGCUAUGCAAGAAAAGACGUGGGAUGAUUCAACAUCAAGUGAAUCAUCGUCAAGUGACGAAGAAAAGAAUGAUCAAAUUGCUCUAUUUGCUAAUACUCCCUCGUCGAAUGUUGUGUGUUUAUCCUCUAUUGCUACUAACUCCAAUAUUUCUCUUUCUUCACAUGAUUUAUCGAGCAACAAUGGCGAAAGUGAGGAGGAAUCAAACGACGACGACAUAGCGGAAGCGUACAAUCAACUUCUUAUUGAAUCAAAGAAGAUGGCUAAACUCAACAAGAAGUUGAGACGUCAUUUGUUGGAACUUGAGGAGGAGAACAACAACAUAAAGAGUUUGAAUAAGGCUCUUGAGGAGGAAAGAGAUUCAAGUUUGAAGAUUAAUUUGGACCUCCAAGAGAAGCUUAGCGAUGCGGAAUCAACGAUCAAAUCUUCUAACGACAAGAUUGGAUUUUUGGAGCAUCAAUUUCAUGAAUCGCACAAGUCCAAUCAAGUCUUGACCAACCAAGUUCGUCAACUCCAAUCCGAUCUUCAACAAUUUUCUUCGGGAUCAAAGAAGUUGGACAAAAUGUUUGGAUUGGGUCAAACAAGCAAAUUGGGCCUUGGAUAUGAACGGACAUAUGUUGAGAAGGAUCAAACGGCGACAUCUAAACUCUCAACAACUUUGAAAGGCAAAGUGUGUCAUCGAUGUGGCAUCAAAGGACACAUCAAAAGGAAUUACCCAAAUAAAGACAAGAAGAAUCAAUCGGCAACUUCUAAACCUCAAGCGGCAUUAUCUACAACUCGACUUCCCACGCAGAAUCUUAAGAAAAAUCAAGUUAGUCGAGUACCUCAAAAGAACCGGACCUCUAAUGCACAACGUCAAGUUCAUGCAAAACAGGUGCAUAAGCCUCAACGACAAAUUCAACCGAAGCCUCAACCGAAAAAACCGCCAACGGUUGAUCAAAAAUCUAAACAAACGGCACCAAACGUCGACAAGCCGAGAAAACCAAAGAUCCGACAAGUUUGGAUCCGGAAAGGUGAUAUCUUUCCUUGCUCCUCGUCUUAGUCAUUUUUGAUUUUUAGUGUAAUGCUUUGAUUGGUGCUCGUUGUUUAAUUUUAUUCAUUGCAUUACAUGUUUGAAUGAUUUUUGGUGCAUUGAAUUUUUGUUUUAUUUAAAAAUUAUUUUGAGGAAAAGGUGUUUGGGAAUUUCAAAAUCUUUGAGAAAAGAGAUAAUUGAGAUCCAUGAUUUUGGAGAGAGAAAUUUUUCUAAAACGGGUUUUAACUUCACAAUCAUAUUAAGUUAAAUUCAUAUUAAUUAUCGGUUUUACUCCACUAUUUAUUAUUUUGACGAUAAUUUAUUAUAUGAUUUCUUAUUGCAUAAAUUCAUCAAAAUUUUGAAAUCAAAUUUGAUUUUUUGGUGAUUAAUUCAUCUUGGUUGUGAGUGUUGGAUAUGAUGAAUGGGUAUUCUCUAAUUGACUAAAAUUCGUCAAAAUUAUUUUCAAUUGUGAGAUUGCCUAAUUUAGGGGGAGUUUGAAAUUUAAAAAAAAGGAGAAAAAGAAACUCCAAUGUUUAAAAGAUGUGGAAAGAGUUACAUCCAAAAGGAGUGUGAAAACUACCACCACAUGUAGGAAAGAGCUACCACCCCGGUCGUCCGGCAAGUGUGUGAAGNNNNNNNNNNNNNNNNNNNNNNNNNNNNNNNNNNNNNNNNNNNNNNNNNNNNNNNNNNNNNNNNNNNNNNNNNNNNNNNNNNNNNNNNNNNNNNNNNNNNNNNNNNNNNNNNNNNNNNNNNNNNNNNNNNNNNNNNNNNNNNNNNNNNNNNNNNNNNNNNNNNNNNNNNNNNNNNNNNNNNNNNNNNNNNNNNNNNNNNNNNNNNNNNNNNNNNNNNNNNNNNNNNNNNNNNNNNNNNNNNNNNNNNNNNNNNNNNNNNNNNNNNNNNNNNNNNNNNNNNNNNNNNNNNNNNNNNNNNNNNNNNNNNNNNNNNNNNNNNNNNNNNNNNNNNNNNNNNNNNNNNNNNNNNNNNNNNNNNNNNNNNNNNNNNNNNNNNNNNNNNNNNNNNNNNNNNNNNNNNNNNNNNNNNNNNNNNNNNNNNNNNNNNNNNNNNNNNNNNNNNNNNNNNNNNNNNNNNNNNNNNNNNNNNNNNNNNNNNNNNNNNNNNNNNNNNNNNNNNNNNNNNNNNNNNNNNNNNNNNNNNNNNNNNNNNNNNNNNNNNNNNNNNNNNNNNNNNNNNNNNNNNNNNNNNNNNNNNNNNNNNNNNNNNNNNNNNNNNNNNNNNNNNNNNNNNNNNNNNNNNNNNNNNNNNNNNNNNNNNNNNNNNNNNNNNNNNNNNNNNNNNNNNNNNNNNNNNNNNNNNNNNNNNNNNNNNNNNNNNNNNNNNNNNNNNNNNNNNNNNNNNNNNNNNNNNNNNNNNNNNNNNNNNNNNNNNNNNNNNNNNNNNNNNNNNNNNNNNNNNNNNNNNNNNNNNNNNNNNNNNNNNNNNNNNNNNNNNNNNNNNNNNNNNNNNNNNNNNNNNNNNNNNNNNNNNNNNNNNNNNNNNNNNNNNNNNNNNNNNNNNNNNNNNNNNNNNNNNNNNNNNNNNNNNNNNNNNNNNNNNNNNNNNNNNNNNNNNNNNNNNNNNNNNNNNNNNNNNNNNNNNNNNNNNNNNNNNNNNNNNNNNNNNNNNNNNNNNNNNNNNNNNNNNNNNNNNNNNNNNNNNNNNNNNNNNNNNNNNNNNNNNNNNNNNNNNNNNNNNNNNNNNNNNNNNNNNNNNNNNNNNNNNNNNNNNNNNNNNNNNNNNNNNNNNNNNNNNNNNNNNNNNNNNNNNNNNNNNNNNNNNNNNNNNNNNNNNNNNNNNNNNNNNNNNNNNNNNNNNNNNNNNNNNNNNNNNNNNNNNNNNNNNNNNNNNNNNNNNNNNNNNNNNNNNNNNNNNNNNNNNNNNNNNNNNNNNNNNNNNNNNNNNNNNNNNNNNNNNNNNNNNNNNNNNNNNNNNNNNNNNNNNNNNNNNNNNNNNNNNNNNNNNNNNNNNNNNNNNNNNNNNNNNNNNNNNNNNNNNNNNNNNNNNNNNNNNNNNNNNNNNNNNNNNNNCCCAUGAUGUCUCUAUAUAUUGAGUUUAUUUUGGAGCUGCUUGGGUUGGGUAGCUGGUUAGUUAUCAGUGACAAUAUGGUUUCCUUUUUCUUUUAGUUAGAAGAGCUAUAUAUAUAUAUAUAUAUAUAUAUAUAUAUAUAUAUAUAUAUAUAUAUAUAUUAGUCUACUAUAUUAUUAAUAGUACCAACCACUUGCUAUUAGGUUUUCGACCCUUGGAUGAAGGGAUGUGCGGUUAGGAUGAUAGUGAUCCCCUAGGAUUGAGUGGGUGGUUAGUUGAAUAGUAUGAUCAAUCAGGUGGAAAUGGUUAAAUGAGUAAAUCUAACGGCACAAAAUUCGAUAGCACUAAGCAUUUGGUACUAUCGAUAAUAUAGUAGCCGAACUCUAUAUCUCUCUCUAUAUAUAUAUAUCUCUCUCUCUAUAUAUAUAGUCCGGCUAUUAUACUAUCUAUAGUACCAAUCGUUUUGUGCUAUCAAGUUUUCUGCCAUUAGAUCAAUCUAUAUAUAUAAAAUCCGGCUGCUAUACUAUCGAUAGUACCAAGUGUUUGGUGCUAUCGAGUUUUCUGCCGUUAGAUCUACCCCUUUGGCCAUUUUCAUCCGUUAGAUCAUACUAUUCAACUAGCCAUCUCCUCAACCCUAGGAGGCUACUAUCAUCCUGACUACACAUCCCUUCAUACAAGGGUCGAAAAACCUAAUAGCAAGCGGUUAGUACUAUUAAUAGUAUAGUAGCCUAAUUCUAUAUAUAUAUAGGCUAGGACUAAUAUACUCUUAUGAGUAUAGAGCUCUUUAUACUCAUAAAUUUUCAGCCGUUGGAUGUACAAUUAAGAUGAUAGUGAUCCCUAGGAUUGAAUGGGUGGAUGAAUAGUAUGAUUUACAGAUAGAAAUGGUCAAAAGUAUAGAUCUAACAGUAGAAAACUUAUGAAUAUAAAGAAGUCUAUACUAAUAAGAGUACAGCGGUCGAACUCUCUCUAUAUAUAACUAGUGAAGGCCCGCGCUUCGCGGCGGGAAAUUUGCGAAAAUUUUCAAAUAUUUUGAACAAACUUGUUUAAUUUUUUUAUUUUAAGAUCUAAGUUAAAAUUGUAAACAUAAAAAAAAUUAAAUAUAAAAUUAUAUAUAAUAAAUAUAUAUAUAUAUAUAUAUUUUUAUAAAUAAAUUAGAUAUAUAUAUAGGAAAAAUAAAUUUAGAUUUGAAAUUUUAAAAUUCAUAUAUAAAAAUUUAAAAUAUAAAACUAUAAAAUCUCUCUCUCUCUCAUUCUCUCUCUCUCUCCUCUCCCCUCUCUCUAUCUUUUUCUCCUGACCUACUCUUCUCUCUCUCUCUCUUCUCUCUCUUUUCUCUCUCCCCUCCUGGCACUCGACCGUGCGCCCGCCGCCGCCGCGCCCCGCCGCCGCCGCCGACUGCCGCCGGCCGCGGCUCAGCGCGCCGCUACUGUCGGCCCGGCCUCCUGCGUGCAGGCCCGCUGGCGAGAGGGGAAGAGAGAGAGGAGGGGAGCGGCUGAGAGCGGGAAGAGCGGGGAGGGGGCGGGGGGAGAGGGGAGGUAAAAGGAGGCAGGGGGAAGCCGCGCGCGGGGGCGCGGGCUGGGGAGUCCCCCGGGCGACCCGACACCGCCGGUGCGGUCACGCGCCGGGGGUGAGGAGGGAGGGAGAGGGGAGGGGGAGGAGAGAGCGGCGGGCUGGAGAAGAUGAGAGAGGAAACAGGAGAUAGAGAGAGCGAGGGAAGGCCCACCAUGUGGCCGACCACGGCCCUUCGUCGCGAGACGAGAGAAGAGAGAUAGGAGACGGAGGGGGAGGGCACGGGGAUGGGGUGGGGAGAGGGAGAGAGGGAGAGAGAGAAAUGAGAGAGAGAGAGAGAGAGCCGCGGCGGCCUACCAUGUGCGCGCGGUGCCGUCUCGCGGGUGCACGCGAGCAGAGAGAGGAGAGAGAGAACUGAGCUUCUCUCUCUCCCUUCUUCUCGGCGCGAAGGCCCCCGCAAAUAUGCGGGAGCUCGCCGCCAGGGCUGGGUGUUCGCUGCCGGUAGGCGACGCGUGCAAUGUGAGGGUUCGCCCUUUUUAUUAUAUAUCGGAUUAUAUAUAAUAUAUUAUUAAUUAUAUAAAUAAUAUAUAUUAUGUAUUUUAAUGUAUAGUAAUAGAAUUUAAUUAUUGGGCCCACAAAAAGCAAACCGGCAAAAUUCCUACUAUAAAUUGCUCCCUCUCUGCUCUUUUCUCACUCGGCUCACAGAGUCGCUUUUCCUAAUUUUUUUUUAAGAUUAUAAUAUUCGUAUUCAGCAUUCUAAUUCUGUGAUGUGUGAAUAUUAGAUUUUUUUGUAUGCGAAUUUUAGAUAAUGAUUUUAUAAAAAUUCAAAUUAUAGAUUGCAACGAUAUUAAAAUUUCACGCGGCUCGUUUAGGCUCGAGUCGCUUGACUCGAAGUUAGGCUCGCUUCGAGCUCGUUCGAAUUGAUUUCAAGUCGAGCUUGAGUCCUAAAUUUUAAGCUCCGAAAUUAAUUUCGAAGCCAAACUUGAGCUGAGGUAGCUCGCUCAGAGCUUGGUCGUUUCCACCCACUAAGCUAGUUUUGCACUGUGACAUAUUAUCUUAACUACAAGAAAAGCGCAGUUGAGCUGUGGAGAGGUAUUAUACUAGUAGCUCCUAAAUGAAUGUGAAAGUCGUAGUUUAAUACAGUUUUAAUGUUAGCUUGCCAGCAGCGUUUGCGCUGUACUCAUUCGAUCUUGUGGUAGUGUGAAUUUUUGAGAACUCUCAAAGGUUGGAUUUUGGUGUUCCAACCAUGAACCAAAGUGGGAUUCAAGUUACACUAUUAUACUAGGUAAUUUCUAGCCUUACUUUGAAUAUGUAAGUUUUAUAUGUAUAGGUUAAUGUAUGAGCUGCCUAGCUGAAUAUCGAAUUCAUUGCUAGGAUAUUGGCGGCUUUGAUUACUUCAGUUUGGAAACGAUGAAGCGUCAGACAUUUGGUGGUUUUGACCUUCUCGAAAUGGCCGUGAAUUCCACUCUAUGUCUCCUUUGGACAUUAUGAGUUUAAAGUUACUGAGUUUUAUGUGAACAUAUGUGUAUUGCAUGAAUUGAGACAUGCUCAUGUGAUAUCAUAUCAGAAUAUACGAGCACUCUAUGCAGUUAGAGGAAGAAGUAUGAAAUUGCUUAUUUCACAUAGAUCAUUUGCUCUAGAAUAGUGUAGAAUUCCAUGGAUAUGAGCAGCCUGUACAAACAAGCUAAGUAUGAUCAUCAUUCAAGGAGGGAGGAUUGUAAAACAUGAUAGUAACAUUUUAGCUACUAUUGGACAACACGGGAAUGAAUGUACUGAUGAAAGAUGAAUCAUGCAAUUCCCUGUUGUAGACAUCAGUUGCCUAGAACUCUUAGUCCUAUCUAGGUAUAAUGACGUUAUUCUAUUAAUCCAUGUUGGAAUCGUUAAGAGAUUCAUUAGACAAUGUUUCACAUAUCUCGUCGUUAACAAGUUGUUAUUUGUUUUUCCAACUGAUGACUUGGCAUUAUGACAUAACAUGAAUAUGCAUUGUUAAUACAAUCUAGUGGAAUGGCUAGAUACCAUGAUGUUAUACUUGUAUUGUAAGAGUUGAAUUCUCGAAAUUCGAGAGUUCACAUCGUCCAGGAUCGAUAAUUGUCGAAAUGAGGCACCCUUCGGAAGGCUAAAGAUAUCCAAAACAAAAAGUGCAUAUGGAGUGAGUCCGCUGAGAGCAUAUACAAACACUGCACUGGCUGAUGUUGCUCUCGGCACCGGGCCCUGGCAGGGAGAGACCGGUCCGAGGCCUAGGGGUUGCUGGGAAUCUUUGAUCGCAAUCCCAGUUCCGCAGCUGAGGGACCGGUCCCGCUGUGUUAGGGCCAGCCGAGAAAGCCAAAAUUUGGCUAAGUCCCGAAAAUCCAGCCUCUCAGGGGAACCGAGUCUCUCGAACAGAGACCGCGGUCUCCGAGGACAGUCUUGCGGGAGAGACUGGUUCCCGAAACGCGUGAUAUCUGGGGAGGCUCUUGGUACCGGUCCAGGUCGGGGCGAGACCAGUCCCUUGGUGCGAAAACUUGCUAGUAACAGCAGUGCACAGGAUGGAAAAUGGAGGUGUUUUAUGCAAAUGCGAUUAAUUAGAGAUAUAGAGAAGAGAGAGCUCUCUCCCUCUAUCAUUUUCACCUCCUCACACUCUCUCUUUUCACUCAUCUCUUUCUCAUCUAGAUGGGAAAAGAAGGAGAUAGAAAAAGAGGAGAAGAAGAUGGAAGAAGAAGAAGAAGAAGAAAGCGAAGCGAGAUAAGAAAAAGAGAUCAAACGAGAGUGAUGGACAUCUCCCUCUCCUCUCCUCUUUCUUCUUUGGAGCUAGCACAAGGGUAAGCCUAACCCUCAGCUUUUGGAAACUUAGGUUUGAGUUUUGUUUGAGAGGAGGUCAAAUGGACCUCUUGCACAUUGUUGUGGAUUAGAAGUCAGAGCUUAGGGUUCCAAAUUGCAAAUGGCAAGAUGUGAACCUAGGCUUCAAAAUUGGAGUUUUUGUAUAAAGAUAUGAGAUUGAUCCAUUUAACGCCUUGUUAACCUAUUGCUUACGGUGUCCAAACGCCGGGGGCGACAGUCGGAUUUAACGAUUCGGUUCGAAUGUCGAUUUAAAGCUAUCGGCAAAAUAAGGCCGAUUUGAAGCUUUUGUUUUUGGACCAGAGGGANNNNNNNNNNNNNNNNNNNNNNNNNACCUCUACAUCGGUAAAAGGUGGGGGGUGCCAUCCCGAAGCUUUCGAACUCCUUUCUAUGUCUUAGAUUGCAUUUAAUCUCAUCUCUUCAUAUUGCAUUGUAGGAUUGCAUGGUAGCUCCAUUUCUUAUGCUUUCUAAUUGAUAACCUAAUGUACUUGGAACGCUUGGUGACAUAGAUAGGUGAGGAUUGGGUCGGAACGUGGAUCCUAUGAUGCGAAAGAAAAGAGAUGUACCCCAUGGGGGUGUUGAUGACAUAGAAAGUAGUGUUAACGUCAAAGAACAAACGAGUGGCAUCCAAAUAUUAAAUGAUGACGAGUGGCAUUAAUGUAGUAUAAAUAACACUAGAGGUUUGAGAACCUAGGGAUAGGUGGAUCCCUUAGAAAAUGCCUUGUGGAUAAAGAACUUAGUAAACCUAAGUAGCCUCACAUGGAGAGGUUGUUGAUCAGUCGAUUGAGACAUUGACCCUAGUGGUAGGGCAACCUCACUUAGAGAGGAUUUGAUUGGGUUGCGGACCCUAGUGAUAGUGUUUCCUCACUUGGAGAGGACUUAAUUAAGUUGUUCACCCUAGAUGUAGGGCAUCCUCACUUGGAGAGGAUAGAUCUAGCUCACAGUCUGCGUUUGGGAUGGUAUAGCCUUCCAAUCCCCAUAUGGAGGGGAUUGUCGUCGAGUACUUCGGAGUGUCGCGCGACUAGGACCACUUGGAGGUCCGGACCACAUGGAGGUCCGCAGACGGUCCCGGGCUUGGGUGCACUUGGAGCUCCCUCCCUACUUUGGGAUUGAAAGGUGAGUUAUAGGCGAGCCCUAGGGCCUCGCCACAGAUUGGGUAAAAGGAAAGGUAAAGGUUUAAUAAUGUCAUUGAAUAUUGCUAUUCGAACAUGGAUCGAAUUUGUUAGCAUGGUAGCAAACCUUUAUUAUAUGAUGCAUGCAUUCAUAUUCAUGAUUAUGGGCAUAGUAGCAUAGUUUUCCUACUAUCGCAUUUACAGUUUUCAGAUACGUAUCUAUCUAUCUAUCUGUUGUUACUUGUGCCCACUUGGACCUAGUGGGGAGAUCGGCAGAGUCGGGGGCCGAGCCCACUGGGAACUAUGGAAGAUAGUUCUCACCCCACUUUAUUUCCAGUGGUAGGUACAGGGUUGCCGAGAGAGGACCGCGGCAAGGGCAUCAAGCCCGAGCAGUGAGACCGUGGUAGUAUAGUAGCUUUCCUUUUUGCAUUAGGAAACCUAUGUAUCUGAGAGUUCCAUGUAGGUGAGGUUGGAGAGCUAUGUAUUUUGGAUGAUUAAAUGUAUUCAUUUUGAGAAAAGAUGUAAAUGUAAAAGAAUGCAAACUAUUGUAAUAGUUAGUAAAGUACUCUCUUUAUUUCACUUGCAUAUUUUGUGGAUUACUUGCUCUUAGUUGUUGGCACUGUUUGUGCCCCGUUGAAUGUGUAUAUUUAGAAUUUGAAUUCCUCGGUAAAUUCUUGUACACAUUCCUGUUGUUGAGCCUUGGGCGGAUAGGGGAGGUGCUGUCCGUUCGGCGUCUGCUUGCCGUGCCCGAACCACGCCAAAUUGGUAGGGGUUUCAGGGCAGGGCGUGACAGUCGUUGGUAUCAGAGCAAGUGAGCAAGUAAAGAGAGAAAGUCUAGGAUGACCUAGGAGACCCUAGGUUGGUGAACCCUAAGGUUGUAGGUGCGUGAGCAGAACGUGAACCUAUAACGAUGGCGGAAGUUGAUUCGAUUGGGUUGAAGUUGGCUAUAUGUCUCUAGUUAUGAUUAGAGACGGAUUUAAGUGGUAUGAGUUCUCGUCUUGAGGUGGUUGUGUCGGCGGCCGACGACAUGAUACCAAGAGUCUAGAACGAGUACGCUUGUGUGCUUCCGCCCGAUUGUGUUGUUAAGUCGUCAUGUGUCGUAAUUUCGACGAGGUAAUUGGUUAAGAUGACUGACCAAGUAUUUGCGUUUCAAGGACUAAUGUCUCCAAGGUGCUACACACGUAGAUCUGCCCCGGCACCGACUCCUGAGGUGCCCGAGCAGGUGGGGUCAAGCGAGUUCGAUCGAUUACAGGCGCAAGUGACCGCAUUGACCAAUGUGGUGCAGCGCCAGGAGACCCGAUUCGAGCCGCUCUAGGAGCUCUUGAAGCGGCAGGUUGCGUCGGCGGCCGCAACGGCGAUGAAUGGACGCGGUGUGCCCGCACCCUCGACUCACGUACCCGAGCCGGCUAAGGGUGAGGGUAUAGCGGCGGUUCCGGUGGUGGCACGUCCCCCGUCGGCACUUGUUCCUCCGGCGGGGUCGGGAGCAGCAACACCCGAUGUGACGGCCAAAGACGCAGAAGGAGAGCGCGCAUUGGCGGCUCUCAUCAAGUUCAACAAGUUCCAUCCGCCUACCUUUGAGGACGAGAAGGUGGAGCCGGCAAUGGUCGAGUCUUGGAUCGACUCGAUGGAGACUCUCUUUGAGGACCUACGUACCUUGGAGAGGGACAAAGUGUACCUUGCCACCCACUGCUUGGAAAAAGCGGCAAAGGUAUGGUGGAAACGCGUGAAGCGGGAUCGGUCUUCCGAUCAUCUGCCAAUGUUGUGGGAGGAAUUUAAGCGGGAGAUGUUCGCCAACUACUUCCCCGAUACGUUGAAGCGGAAGCUCAAGGAGAAGUUCCGCAAGUUGGAGCAAGGGGACCGCUCAGUGGCGGAGUAUGAACAAGAAUUCUCCCAUCUCAUAGACUGUGUCCCGGACGUAGUGAAGGAUGACCAGGACAGGGCCGAUUGGUUCUUGCGAGGACUUCGGCCGGGGAUCUACAAGGCCGUGCAGAUACUCAAGAUCACGACCUUUGCGGAGGUCUUCGACCGAGCACUUUGGGCGGAGCACGGAGACGCCCACGUUCCGGAGGAGCGCGAAGCGUUAGCCGAGUCUAAGGACAAAGGCAAGAAACGUCAAGGCGGCGGUGGUUUGGGGGGACAAGCACAUUCUAAAAAGCCCCCGAAGUAUCCGCGGACGCAGCAAAAGAGGCGUGGAGCGCGGCGUUGCGUUAUUUGCGGCCGAGACCACCUGGUGUCGCGCUGUGAGUAGCGCGAAGGCAAGUGCUACAAGUGUGGGCAGCCGGGGCACUUCAUUCGAGAUUGCCCGGGAGGAUGAGCCUCACCUGCCUCGUUGAUUGCAUCAGCGCCGGCGAUCCCAGCUCACUAUGGAGGAGUUCCACCGACGGCUGUGUCGGCGGGACGUGCGAUGAUGCCGCGCCAACCCGAGAUGGCGCGAUCGGCCCUGAGCGGACGGGUAUUUGCCGCUCAGGUCUAAGCUGAGGAGCCUGCGGAGGCGAAAGAGCACCGCCUUGUGGCAGGUAUGGUUCUAGUUAAUGGAAUUCGCUCUAGGGCUUUAUUCGAUACUGGUGCUACAUAUUCAUUCAUCAGUAGAUCAUUCACACGCAUGCAUGACAUACUCAUAGAGGCGAGUGACAAGUGGCGAGUUGAGGGCCCUGGGUCGACGUUUAACACCUACUCAGAGUGUGCAUCGUGUCCAGUACAAGUAGGUGACUAGAUAAUGCCUAUUCGGAUGCUAGAACUCAAGAAGCUCGAGGCUUAUGACGUCAUUUUGGGCAUGGACUGGCUCUCGAAAUAUAACGCAACAAUCGACUGCAAGAGCAAAGUAAUUACGUUUCGUGAGCCAGGACAAAAGGAGUUCACAUAUUGGGCUUGCCAGAGCUCGUGCUUCGUCGCGACGGUGUCGGCGACGAGAACAAGGAAGUUGGUCAACAGCGGUUGCACGGCAUUCUUAGAGACUGUUGUGGAAGUGGAAAAAGUAGCUCCAACACUGGAGGAGAUAUCGGUGGUGCAGGAGUUCCCGGAUGUGUUUCCCGCGGAGUUGCCGGGGAUACCACCGGAUCGGAAAAUCGAGUUUGUCAUAAACUUAGUUCCCGGUACCACACCGAUCUCGAAGGCUCCGUACCGAAUGGCGCCGGCGGAACUGAAAGAGUUGAGGAGUCAACUGCAAGACCUUCUCGACAAGCAGUUUAUCCGUCCAAGUGUAUCACCGUGGGGAGCCCCGAUGUUGUUUGUACGGAAGAAGGACGGAUCAUUCUGACUCUACGUGGACUAUCAAGAAUUGAACAGAGUCACGAUAAAAAAUAAGUACCCACUACCCCGAAUCGAUAAUUUGUUCGAUCAGUUGCAGAGGUCGUGUGUAUACUCGAAGAUAGACUUGCAAUCCGGCUAUCACCAGUUGAAGAUCAAGCCGGAGGAUGUGCAGAAAAUCGCGUUUCGCACGCGGUACGGGCACUAUGAAUUCACGGUCAUGCCAUUUGGACUCACGAACGCUCCAGCGGUAUUUAUGGACUUGAUGAACCGUGUCUUCAGAAGGUUUUUGGAUCGAUUUGUUGUGGUCUUCAUAGACGACAUAUUGGUCUAUUCUUGUAGUGACGAGGAACAUGCCGAGCAUUGAGGAUUGUGUUUCAAACCCUUCGGGAGGAGAAGCUGUAUGCUAAGUUAAAGAAGUGUGACUUCUGGCUUCGAGAAGUCGCAUUUCUAGGGCAUGUGACUUUCGCAGGUGGAGUUUCUGUAGACCCGAGGAAAGUUGAGGCAAUCAAUGAUUGGCCGCGCCCGACGAAUGCCACGGAGGUUCGAAGCUUCGUGGGCUUGGCGGGCUAUUAUAGGCGGUUUGUGGAAGGCUUUUCGAAGAUAGUAAUUCCACUUACCCGCCUAACUCAGAAUGGCACCAAGUUUGUGUGGAGCGAAGAGUGCGACUGGAGUUUCAAAGAGUUGAAGCAAAGAUUAACUUCGACUCCGGUGCUCUCUUUAACGGUACAGGGCGAAAACUUCGUGGUCUAUAGCGAUGCUUCUUAUCUAGGAUUGGGGUGUCUCCUGAUGUAGGGCGGAAAGGUAAUCGCUUAUGGGUCCCGUCAGCUAAAGAGCUAUGAGAAGAACUACCCCAUUCAUGAUUUGGAGCUAGCGGCAGUAAUUUUCACCUUGAAGCUGUGGCGGUACUACUUGUACGGUGCCCAUUGUGAGAUCUAUACCGACCACAAGAGUUUAAAAUAUCUGUUCACACAGAAAGAGCUCAACAUGAGACAACGGCGGUGGUUAGAAUUGUUAAAGGACUAUGAUAUUGAUAUCCUUUACCACCCCGGAAAAGCUAAUGUGGUCGCGGAUGCGCUGAGUAGGAAGUCAGCGGAGAACCUCUCGAUGUCGGUUACAAAUCAAUCACCCUUGUGGUUAGACAUGGAGCGGAUGAACCUUAAGGUGGUUGCUCCCGAGAUUCUAGCCCAGUUGAUGGCGCUCACUGUCCAACCGACCUUGUUGGAGAGGAUUAAAGAUCUGCAACCUGCGGACCCAGAACUCCAAAAGGUGCGGCGAAACAUCGAGGAAGGUCGAAGUGGCGAUUUCAGUAUAAACGCCGAUGGUGCACUUCGGUUUCGGAACCGGUGGUGUGUACCCAAAAAUGGAGAACUUCGCGAGCUAAUUCUACAAGAAGCGCAUCGGUCUCCAUAUGCUGAUCACACGGGCGGCACCAAGAUGUAUCAAGGAUUAAAGAUGCACUAUUGGUGGCCGAAAAUGAAGAGUGAUAUUGGACGCUUCGUGGCGAAAUGCUUGACAUGCCAACAAGUGAAGGCAGAGCGUCGGUUUCCAGCGGAAAAGCUGCAAAGCCUACCAAUUUUCGUUUGGAAAUGGGAGGAUAUAUCGAUGGACUUUAUGGUCGGCUUGCCUCGCUCAACGGGCGGCCACGAUGCAAUUUGGGUAAUUGUGGACCGAUUGACGAAGUCGGCUCACUUUCUGCUGAUCCAGACCACGUGGUCGGGUGACAAGUUAGCGCAGGUAUACCUCGACGAGAGAGUGAGACUGCAUGGGGUGCCGAAAUCAAUCGUGUCGGAUUGUGACCCCUGGUUCACUUCAUACUUCUAGAAAAGCCUGCAGGAAGCCCUUGGCACACAGCUCGAUUUUAGCACCGCAUUUCAUCCUCAGACCGAUGGGCAAACAGAGAGAACCAUUCAAACUCUGGAGGAUAUGUUGCGAGCGUGUGUCAUUGACUAUAAGGGAAGUUGGUGUGAUCAUUUGCCGAUGGCCCAGUUCGCCUACAGCAACAGUUACCACGCUAGUGUAGAGAUGGCACCGUUCGAGGCCUUCUACCGGCGGACGUGUCGGUCUCCUAUACUUGGAGCGAUGUGGGUGAGCGCCCAGAGUUCGGCCCCGAUGUGUUGCGAGAAGCGGAGGAGAAAGUCCGCCUUGCUCGCAAGAGAUUGCUCACGGCGCAGUCCAGACAGCAAAGCUAUGCAGAUAGGCGCCGUCGGGACAUAAGUUCGCUGUGGGCGACCGUGUGUUCUUGAAAGCUUCACCGAUGCGGGGUGUGAAGCGAUUUGGAGUACGGGGAAAGCUAAGUCCCCGGUACAUUGGACCCUAUGAGAUAUCGGAGCGGGUUGGCACGGUGGCCUAUCGGUUGGCCUUGCCGCCGAAGCUCACAAAUGAACACAAUGUGUUCCAUGUCUCCAAUCUCCGUAAGUAUAUUCACGACCCCGAGCACGCGAUGCUGUAUGAGCCAUCGGAACUUCAAGAGGACUUGAGCUAUGAAGAGUUCCCGGUGGGUAUUAUUGCCCGAGAAGUGCGAAAACUAAGAAAUCGCGAGAUUCCCUAUGUGAAGAUUUGGUGGAGCAAUCAUGAUAAUCGUUAGGCCACCUGGGAACUCGAGGAUCUGAUGAGAAAGCACCAUCCUCAUCUAUUUGGGGAGUGAGGUAAGGAUUUAAAUUAAAGUUAGAAAAUUAGUUCGUUUCGAGGACGAAACUCCUUUUAAUGAGGGGAGGAUGUAAGGAAGUGAAUUCUCAAAAUUCGAGAGUUUGACUUCGUCCAGGAUCGACUAAUUGUCGAAUGAGCACCCUUUGUGAAGGCUAAAGAUAUCCAAAACACAAAAAGUGCAUUGGAGUUGAGUCUGCGAGAGCAUACAGUACAAAACCUGCACUGGGCUGAAGUUGCUCUCUGGGACCGGUCCCUUGCAGGGAGAGACCGGUCCCCGAGGCUGGUGGUUGCUGGGGAUCUUUGAUGCAACCGGUCCCAGGCUGAGGGGACCGGUCCCCGUGUGCGAGGCCAGUGAGAAAAGCCAAAAUUUGGCUAAGUCCCGAAAAUCCAGCUCUCGGGAACCGGUCUCUCAGACAGGAACCGGUCUCCCGAGGACCGAUCUCUCAGGGAGAGACCGGUUCCCGAACGCGUGAUAUAUGGGGAGGCUCUCGGGGAUCGGUCCCAGGUCGGGGAGAUCGGUCCCUCUGGGCAGAAAUUGCCCAGUAAAGGCAGUGCACAGGAUGGAAAGUGGAGGGAUUUUUAUGCAAAAUGGUAUUAAUUAGAGAGUAUAGAGAGAGAGAGCUCUCUCCCUCUCUCAUUUUCACCCUCCCUCACACUCUCUCUUUCACUCAUCUCUCUUUCUCUCUCUAGAAGGAAAAGAAGGAGAAGAAAAAAGAGGAGAAGAAGAGGAAGAAGAAGAAGAAGAAAAGGAAGGAGAAGAAGAAGGAGAUCAAAGAGGAGCUUUGGACAUCUCCCUCUCCCUCUCCUCUUCUCUUUGGAGCUAGCACAAGAGGUAAGCCCUAACCCUAGCUUUUGGAAANAAAACUGCCUAGUAAAGGCAGUGCACAGGAUGGAAAAUGGAGGGGUUUUUAUGCAAAAUGGCAUUAAUUAGAGAGUAUAGAGAAAGAGAGAGCUCUCUCCCUCUAUCAUUUUCACCCUCCCUCACACUCUCUCUUUCACUCAUCUCUCUUUCUCUCUCUAGAGGGAAAAGAAGGAGAAGAAAAAAGAGGAGAAGAAGAGGAAGAAGAAGAAGAAGAAGAAAAGGAAGGAGAAUAAAAAGGAGAUCAAAGAGGAGCUUUGGACAUCUCCCUCUCCCUCUCCUCUUCUCUUUGGAGCUAGCACAAGAGGUAAGCCCUAACCCUAGCUUUUGGAAACUUAGGGUUUUGGGUUUUGAGUUUUGGAGAGGAGGUCAAAUGGACCUCUUGCACCAUUGUUGGUGGAUUAGAGCUAGAGCUAGGGUUCCAAAUUGCAAAUGGCAAGAUGUGAACCCUAGGGCUCCAAAAUGGAGUUUUUGGUAAAGUAUGAGAUUGAUCUCAUUUAAGGCCUUGUUAACCUAAUUGCUAGGUGUCCAAACGCGGGGGCGAAGUCGGAAUUACGAUUCGUCGAGUGGAUUUAAAGCUAUCGGCAAAAUAAGGCCGAUUGAGCUUUGUUUUGGGACCAAGGAGGCCGAGACCUCGUCGUAAUGUUCGGCGAGAGGCAUUUCUAGAACCUCUACAACGAGAAAAGGUGGGGGGUGUCAUCCCGAAGCAACCGAACUCUUUUCUAUGUCUUAGAAUAACAUAUAAUUUCAUCUCUUGCAUGUUGCAUUGUAGAAUUGCAUGUUUAACCUUCUCCUUAUACUUUGUAAAUGGUAACCUAGUGUGCAUGGAAUGCUAGGUGAAUAGGAUAGGUGAGGAUUGGGUCGGGACAGUUGAUCCUAUAGUGCUAAAGAAAAGAGGUAAACUUGAUGGUUAUCUAGUGACUUAAAGAGUGGCAUCUAAAUGUCUAAAGAACAAACGAGUGGCAUUAACGUAGUGUACUUGACACUAGAGGUUUAUGAACCUAGGGAUAGGUGGAAUCUCUUAGAAAAUGCCUUGUGAACAAUAAAUUUAGUAAAGCUAAGUGCAAUUGCAUGAUGGUCAGAAUAAAUGACUUCCGAGUGUUGUUGGCCCUAGUUCGUAGGGUAUCCUCACAUGGAGAGGACAUAGACGAGUUUUGAUUGUGAUGUUGGCCCUAGGUGGUAGGGUAUCCUCACGUGGAGAGGAUAGAUCAAGCUCACGGUCUGUUAAUCGGGGUGGUAUAGCCAUCCAUAUCCUCACAUGGAGAGGAUUGGUCGUCGAGUACUCUGGAGUGUCGGGCAAUAGGGACCACAUGGAGGUCCACAGACAGUCCCGGGUUUGGGGGCACAUGGAGCUUCCCUACCCAAUUGGGAUGGAAAAGUGAAUUGAGGGCCAACCCAAGGGUUUCGCCACAGAUUGGGUAAAUGUAAAGUUAAUAUUGUCAUUGAACAUUAUUUAUCGAACAUGGAUCGAUCUCGUUAGCAUGAUAGUAUACCUUUACUAUAUGAUGCAUGCAUUCAUUAUACAUGAUUAUGGGCAUAGUAGCAUAGUUUUCCUUUAUGCCUUUACAGCUUUCAGAUAUCUAUCUAUCUGUCUACUUGUUGUUACUUGUGUCCAUUUGGACCUAGUGGGGAGACCGGCGGAGUCGACGACCGAGCCCACUGGGAACUAUGGAAGAUAGUUCUCACCCCACUUUAUUUCCAGUGGUAGGUACAGGGUUGCCGAGAGAGGACUGCGGCAAGGGCAUCACGCCCGGCAGUGAGACCGUGAUAGUAUAGUAGCUUUCCUUUUUGCAUUCGCAAACCUAUGUAUCUGAGAGUUCCAUAUAGGUCAGGUUGGAGAGCUAUGUAUUUUGGAUGAUUAAAUGUAUUCAUUUUGAGAAAAGAUGUAAAUAUAAAAGAAUGCAAACUAUUGUAAUAGUUAGUAAAGUACUCUCUUUAUUUCACUUGCAUAUCUUGUGGAUUACUUGCUCUUAGUUGUUGGCACUGUUUGUGCCCCGUUGAAUGUGUAUGUUUAGAAUUUAAAUUUUUGGGUAAAUUCUUGUACACAUUCCUGUUGUUGAGCCUUGGGCGGACAGGGGAGGUGCUGUCCGUUCGGCGUACGCUUGCCGCGCCCGAACCGCGCCAAAUUGGUAGGGGUUUCGGGGCGGGGCGUGACAUGUAUAGUCAAGCAAAAGUACCUGCAUGUGACUUAUUUACUCUAAGUAGUGGAGGCUUAUGUGAAACUUUAGAAUAUGUGCCAUGAGUUGUAUGAACUUAGAAUGAGUCAUGAGUAUGACUUUAGUAAACCAUUUUCCUUAUGUAUAGGGAGUAGUGAGAGGACUCCAUGUGAGUAUAUAUGGGUAUAGCCCAUUAUGAUGUAAAGAAUAUGCUUGUUUAAGUUAUACUAGCUAAUGGUAGAAUUAUGUCAACAAGUAGUUGAUAGUGGCUUACGAUUUUGUACUACAGUGUCGACCUUGUAUCGAGUUGAGAUUCCAUGACAGAGACAUGAUGAAAUUGUGAUAUCUAUGCUAUGGAUUAUGCUUGCAUGCCAUUGUGUUCAUUCGCACACGCUUGUGGGGGUCGCGCCCUCCAAGCCGGCACUUCGGAGUUAGCCUAGCGACAGAUUGCUCGCUUAUGUACAAUUUGAGCGCUGAAGUGGAUUGCUGUGGGUGAUGUUGACUUCCACGGGGCCAUUAGGCACGGCGCGGCUGGGAUUUUACCUUGUGUAAGUCUCUUGUGAAUUGGGUUAUUAUGAGUUACUUUAACCUUAGACAGACAUAGUAGUAAGGAUACUUUAUGUCAUUGGUCGAGUAAACUUAGUGAUGAACAUACUAGAAGGUUGACAUCCUGAUUAGUUAGUACCAUAGUGACAGUAUGUUUACACUCUUGCUACUGUAGGAAAUUAACUACAUGAUGUUACCAGAUAGCUCAUUGAUAAUAAGGAUAUUUUGCAUACGGUCUGAUAUAUAGCUAGUUAAACUGUCAAUUGGCCUAAUUUGUAAAACUUGUCAUGAUGAACUAGUACAUAAAACAUGUUAAUAAACAUAUCUAGAGAAGAAUAUCAUGACUGAUUUACUUCAGUACCUAUUGCAUUUACUUGCUUAUCUAUUAUUGUUUACUCAUACCACAGUUGGCCUAGUGGUGUACUUCGCCACUCUCGGCGGCUUACCCACUGGGAACUAUUAUUUAAUAGUUCUUACACCCUUUUGUUGGUUGUUUUACGCAGAGCCUUCCACAGCUGGAAAGGCUAGGGUUCCUGGCGAGGGUUCAGCGGCUAGCCAGAGCCUUCUCGAUGUUGAAUAGAUGAACCUCUACCAGUUUAUUUUGAUUUAGUUCAGUAUUGUAUCUUGGACUUAUGUAGAAUGUACUUUGCUUUUACAUUGUAAUAAGGUUUGGGUUUUAUAAGUUUAAACUUGUAGUUGUGCUCCGAUUACUUAGUUAAGAUAUUAUCUUUUUGCUAUAUUGUUUGUAGACGCCUGGUGUACACUUGAGGUAGGAAUGUACACGGCGGGUCUGUGCACGUGAUUGGUGAGCUUUCGCUAAAAUUCAGGGCGUGACAAAUAUCCUCCCAUUUCCAAACGGGGAUAGGUAGGCUCUGAAGCUUUCCCGCUGGAAAUCGGCGCUCCGCCUUGACUUGUUGGCAAACAAGAUAUUGCGCCACAUAGCAUCCAAUGUCAGCUUUCAUUCCCGGCCACCAAUAGAGCACUCUCAAGUCUUCGUACAUCUUGGUGCCGCCCGGGUGAACACUAUAGCGAGACUGAUGCGCUUCCCGCAAAACUAACUUCCGGACCUCUUCUUUUUCCGGUACACACCACCGGUUCCGGUAUCGAAGAGCACCAUCGGCAUGUAUACUGAAAUCGCCACUACGCCCACCCUCGAUGUCGCGCCGCACCUUUUGGAGAUUCGAGUCUGCGGAUUGUAAACUCUUAAUCUUCUCCAACAAGGUCGGUUGGACAACGAGAGCCGUGAGCAUAGACGGAACCUCCGAAGCUACAACCUCGAGAUCCAUUCGCCCCAUUUCCUUCCACAGGGGCACCUGAUUCGUGAUCAACAACGUGAGGUUCUCCGUUGACUUUCUGCUAAGUGUAUUCGCUACCACAUUAGCCUUUCCAGGAUGGUAGAGUAUAGUAAUAUCAUAGUCCUUCAACAACUCUAGCCACCGACGUUGCCUCAUGUUGAGCUCUUUCUGUGUAAACAGGUAUUUCAGACUUUUGUGGUCCAUAUAUAUCUCGCAAUGCGCACCGUACAAGUAGUGUCUCCACAGCUUCAAAGCGAAGAUCAUUGCGGCCAAUUCCAAAUCGUGGAUAGGGUAGUUCUUCUCGUAGCUUUUCAAUUGACGGGAUGAUUAUGCGAUCACCUUCCCGUUCUGCAUCAGAACACACCCCAAACCUAGAUAAGAUGCAUCGCUAUACACCACAAAGUCCUCACCUUGCACCGGUAGGGCGAGCACCGGAGUCGAAGUCAACCUCUCCUUCAACUCCUUGAAACUCUGGUCACACUCGUCACUCCAAAUAAACUUGGUGCCCUUUUGUGUCAGACGGGUAAGUGGAAUAACUAUCUUCGAGAACCCCUCCACAAACCGUCUAUAGUAGCCCGCUAAGACCACAAAGCUUCGGACCUCCGUUACAUUCAUCGGGCGAGGCCAAUCCUUAAUUGCCUCAACUUUCCUCAGGUCAACAGAAACUCCACCCUCGAAAAUGACAUGUCCCAGAAAUGCAACUUCUCGGAGCCAAAAGUCACAUUUCUUCAACCUCGUGUAUGGCUUUUCCUCCCGAAGGACUUGAAGCACUAUCCUUAAAUGCUCCGCAUGCUCCUCGUCGCUACGAGAGUAGACCAAGAUGUCGUCUAUAAAGACUACGACAAAUUGGUCCAAAUAAGCUCUGAAGACACGGUUCACCAAAUCCAUGAAUACUGCCGGGGCAUUUGUGAGCCCAAACGACAUAACCAUGAACUCGUAGUGUCCAUACCGCGUGCGAAAUGUGGUCUUUUGCACAUCCUCCGGCUCUAUCUUCAGCUGAUGGUAGCCAGACUGGAGGUCUAUCUUCGAGUAUACUCGUGACCCCUGUAACUGAUCAAACAAGUCGUCGAUACGGGGCAACGGGUACUAGUUCUUAAUAGUGACCUUGUUCAACUCGCAGUAGUCCACGCAAAGUCGAAAUGAUCCAUCUUUCUUUCUCACGAACAAAACCGGGGCUCCCUACAGUGACACACUCGGCCUGAUAAAUUCCUUGUCGAGGAGAUCUUGCAACUGAGCCCUCAAUCUUUCAAUUCAGCAGGUGCCAUACGGUAUGGAGCCUUUGAUAUCGGCGCGGUCCCGAGAACCAAGUUUAUAACGAACUCGAUCUCCCGAUCCGACGGUAUCCCCGGUAACUUCACGAGAAACACAUCCGGAAACUCCCGGACCACGGACAUACUCUCAAGUGCCGGAGUCCCUGAUCAACCUUCACAACGGUCACCAAAUAAGUCGCGCAACCGCUGCUAACCAGUUUCCUCGCCCUAGACGCCGACACCGUCAUGGCGAAGCACGACCUCCUGCAUGCUUGAUAAGUAAACUUCUCCUGUCCUGGCUCAUGAAAGGUAAUAACUCUACUAUUGCAGUUAAUAGACGCAUAGUACUUCGAGAGCCAGUCCAUGCCCAGUAUCAGAUCAAAAUCUUUCAACCUCUUGAGCACCAACAAACGUGUCGACAUAAUCCAGUUGCCCACUUGUACCGGACACGCCAAACACUUUUUCCGUAUAAUAAAUUCACGCUCGGGGGCUUCAACCCGCCAAGUACUCUUGCUCAACUGAACCUCUAUGCCAUGUAUCUCAGCAAAUGGUCUACUGGUGAAUGAAUGCAUAGCACCUGUAUCAAACAUAGCUCUGGAGAGAACUCCGUUAACCGAAACCAUACCUGCCACGACGUUGCUCUCCUCGGCCUCAGCAGGUUCCUCGGCUUGAGCGGCGAAUACUCGUCUGCUCGGAGCCGAUCGGGUCACCUCAGGCUGGCGUGGUGCCAUAGCAUGUCCAGCAGAUACAGCAGUAGGUGGAGCUCCUCCAUAAUGGUCCGGUGUCGCGGGAGCCGAUGCAAUCUAUGGGGCAGGCGAGGUCCUCCCCGGACAGUAACGACUCAUAUGUCCCGCCUGGCCACACGUGUAGCAUCUCCCCUCCUUCUGCUUACAACGAUUUGGGUCAUGAUCACCGCCACAAAUGACGCACUGCCGAGCCCCGCGACCCUUGGACUGCGUUCGCGGAUAUUUCAGAGGCCUCAUCGACCUUGACUGACCUCCCGAACCAUCAGGGGCUCGCUUCUUACCCCCGUCCCUCUCGGACGCUUCACGCUCCUCACGGACGUAGGAGUUACCAUUCUCCGCCCAGAACACCCGAUCGAGCACCUCUGCAAAAGUAGUAAGCUUCAAGAUAUGAACCGCCUUGUAGAUAUCCGGCCGGAGUCCUCGCUCGAACCAAUCUGCUCGAUCCUUGUCGUCUCGCACCACGUCGAAGACGCAGUUGAUGAUAUGCGAGAACUCCCGCUCAUACUCUCCAACUGAGCGGUUACCUUGCUUCGGCUUCCUAAACUGAUCUUGGAGCUUCUUCUUCUCACUAUCGGGGAAAUAGUUAGUGUACAUUAACCCCCGAAACUCUUCCCACGCGAACGGCGGAAGGUCGGAAGACCGAUCCCUCUUAAUACGCUUCCACCACACUUUCGCCGUCCGCUCCAAACAAUGAGUGGCGAGGUGUACCUUAUCCCUCUCCAAUGUGUAAAGAUCAUCGAACAGGGUCUCCAUCGAGUCAACCCACGACUCGACCAUCCAUGGCUCGACCUUCUCUCUGUCGAACACUGGUGGAUCAAACUUCCGGAACAUCACGAGAGCAGCAAGCGCGCGCUCCCUCUCCGCCGCUAUCGCCGCACCUUUGGGAUUAGAAGUUUCCGAACUAGUAGCUACUACUGCUGGCGCGGGCUGCACUGCAACCUGUUAAGUCUUAUGUAUUGGCAAGUUUUGUGAAGUGAGUCGGAGUCUUGAAGGAUCUGUGCGUAUUGUCGAAGAUCGAAGAAUCCAAGACUUCGAAGAAAGCGGAAUUAACUCACUAUGUGAAUCACGAUGACCAGGUAAGCUUUUAAUUCAUGUUAUGGUGAUUGAUACUUAGUUGUAGGCAUUAUAAUCAUAAUAUCAAAGUUUACUGGAUUAGAAGUGCAUUGGUACUUUGCAAAAUCCGAAAUCGUGCAAAUUGUGGGUUUUUGUAAAGUGUACCGGUACAACAUCGGAAGUGUACCGGUACACAUUAUGUUCCGGUACAGCAAGCGACGUUGUCAUCGGUUACAGCUUUACGCAGGUUUUCUCUUCCGUCAUCGUGUAACCGGUAACAGCUUAAAGUGUACCGGUACACAAUGUAAUUUUCGAAAAAACUUUCUAAUCCGACUCCAAUUGAUUCUAAAGUCUAUAAAUAAGCUAUUGGGGUUCUCUAACACAUCAAGCAUCACGAGAAUACAUGUUUGAGAAAUCCUAGAGGCUUGGAUUUCAUCUAAAACCUAUUUUCUACAUAUUAGUCUCUUUUAGGUCAAAUCGAGAUAUUGAAAUUUCAUAUCUAUAUGUUGAUUUGAUCUUUGCUUCGCUUGGAGUUCCCUUCCCUGGUUCUCUUCGAUACUCUAAGCGAAGGAUCACCAUACACAUGAUAUUCUUCAUGAUGGCGUCGUGGAUUCGGCGUGAUUGACGGCGGUUCGUGGAUUCGGAUCGUGAGCUUCGUGGCUUCGGAGUGGAGGCGUUUCGUGGAUUCGGAACGUGGCGUUCGUGGAUUCGAACGUGAGGGCGUGGACAACCCGGAGGAUUGCGCGAGAUUCAUAGGAGGUUAAGAGAGGUCGAGUCCAUAGAGUUGGUAAUCACCUUGUAAUCUUUUCUCUUAGUGAAUUAUUUUUUCGCGUGUUGGUCUCGUGGGUUUUUUACUCCAAGUUGGAGUUUUCCCACGUAAAUCUCGGUGUAAUUUUUAUUUUUCGUAUUUAUUUUGAUCGCAUUGAGAUUUGUGGUUUUUGGCUCUCACACCUAUUCACCCCCCUCUAGGUGUUAGAUACAAUCUAGAUAGAUCCUUGGGCUCCUCAAAACUUUCAAUUAAUAUUGGAGCGGCAUCUAGAUAUAUUGAUAUCUAAUGGCCGAAGGCGGUAACAUUAAUCGACCACCACUCUUCGAUGGCACGAAUUAUGCCUAUUGGAAAGAGCUUUUCUAAUCGCAAUCGAUGAGCAGGUGUGGAAAGCUAUUGAAUUCGGUUGGAAGUAUCCUAACGAAGUCGUCGAUAAUGCUACCGUUCCUAAACCACAGAAUAAGUGGACGAAAGAUGAAAACAAGUCAUAUUCGUUUAACGAUAGCACAGCCGUAGUGGCCACACCCUCCGUCGCACCAGGCACAAUAACGGGAGGCGCGGGUCGCUCAACAUCCGCCUGAGCCGACGCCUGUUGCGCCACCAAUUCCUAUAGCCUAGCGAUCUGAUCCUCCUGGUGCUGCAUCGCACGAGCCAUCGUAGCUAUCUGCGUUCGCAACUCCCGCACUUCUUCAGAUCCCAACUGUUCGGGCACCUCAGUGGGUGGUGCCGGAGUGGAUCGCGUCCUGGGACGUCCCCUCGGUGCCAUAGCUCCUGAAACGCAACAACUGGUUAAUCACCUUAACCCGUUAACUCCUCGUAAUCACGAGACAAAACUACUCAAUAUCGAAAUCGGGCGGAAGCACACAAGUGUACUCAUUCUAGACUCUUAGCGUCAUGUUGUCGGCCGCCAACACAACCACCUCGAGCCAAGAACUAAUACCACUUGAAUCCGUCUCUAUCAACAACUAGAGACUUACUACUAACAACUUCGACCCAAUCGAAUCAACUUCCGCCGCCGGCAUAGAUUCACGUCUCACUCACGCACCUAUAGCCUUAAGGUUACCGUCCUAGGGUCUCCUAGGUCUAUCCUAGACUUCUCUAUUUGCUUGCUCCGAUACCAUUUUAUCUAUCACGCCCCGCGACCGCCAAUUUGGUCGGUUCGGGUACGUCGAUCAGACGCCGAACGGACAGAGCCUCUCCGGUCCGCCUAAGGCUAAACAACCACAAUCAUGUAAAAUAAGUUGCCCAGGUAAACUUAAACAACAUACAUGAAGCGUUGCGAGUACUAAUACAAGCAAACAACAAAAGAGAGAGAGACCUAGCUAUUACACUUGUCAUUCAACAUUUACAUAAUUUUUUUACAUUUUUACUCCCAAAAUGUAUAUAAGUUCUGCUCAAAACAUAUACAUACAACUCUCCAAUAUAUACAUCAUCUGUCACUCAUGUACACAGGGGUACUCUAAUGCAAAAGGAAAGCUGCUAGCUACUAGGGCUCUAUGCCCUUACCGCAGUCCUCGCCCGGUCCGCUCACACUCGGCCCUGCAACAAAGUACGGUGAGAACUACGAAUAGUUCCCAGUGGGUUCGGCCGCUGACUCUACCGAUCUUUCCACUAGGUCUAAGCAGGCAUAAGUAGAUAGAUAGAUAUAUGAAAAUGAGCUGCUACAUAGUAACAAAAUCUACAACAUGCUAAUAUGCCUCAAUAAAUAGAAUGAAUGCAUGAACAUAGUAAUGUACUUUACUAACAUGAUACUAUGUCUCAAUUUACAUGAUAUACAUGAUAUAAAGGAAAUAUCUACAUAGCAAUGAAACCUACUAUCAAGUACUAUGUUUCAUGUCCAAUCUCAUCUCGGCUAAUCCGAAGGUUAGGCCGAACUCACAUCUCAAAUCUCGUCAGUGAGUAGACUCUGCGCUACACAUACCAGAGACCACCUAAUGGGUAAUCAAGUUACCCAAACACGACAUCUACUCCGGAGCUCACUACUUGGGGUGGAGCGACCACGCCAAGGUUACACAGACUAUGUGAGUACGAUCCAAUCCUCUCACUCGAGGAUAGUUAGUGCCUCUGCUGCACUAGUUCACAUGCCACUACUCAGGAAAUCAUUAUCUAUUCCUAAGUUCAUGUUAUCAAGUUGUAAGUGUUUCAACUACACUAGUUUACAUGCCACUACUUAGGAAAUCAUCUUCUAUUCCUAAGUUCAUGUCAUAGUGUUUCUACUACACUAGUCCAAAUGCGACUCUUCUAGGUCAUUUACAUGUCCAAGUUCAUCUUUUGUUCUUUGGCACUAUAGGAUUUCAUGUCAAGACCCAAUCCUUAUACGUCCACUAAAUCAAGUGCUUAACUCACAAUAUGAUUCUACAAUGGAAACAUGCAAGGAAUUGAAGUACAACUACUUAACAUAAUCUAUAAUGCAUGAUAAUAAUAUAUGUACAUAUACUAUAAUAAAACAACUCGGAUAUAGAAAAAAGUUCAACUGCUUCGGGAUGGACACCCCCCACCUCUUGGUGAUGCCACGAAGCUAGACUCCAAGUUUCGUAAUUUUUCGCCCCCUAUUUCUUCCGACUGCGACGAACGAAGCCAAAAAUAGGCUUUUCUUCAAUAUCUCUGCGCAGACUCGUCGGAUCGCCGAACCGAGUUUACCAACAUGUCGGAUUACCUAGCGAUUAAGUAUAAAAGAGAUCAAUCCUAACUUUAGAUCUCAAUUUAACAAAACCCUCUUUAGAACCCUAGAUUACAACUAUUGCAAGAAUUCAUCGAACAGCUUCAUGAUUCAAGCAAUAAUCAUAUAUUCAACAUCUAAGGGUUCAACUAAAACCGAUUCUAGAGCAUAAGAUUCAAACCCUAGAAAUCCACCAUGAGAGGGUUUGAAGCUAACCUCUACAAGCUCCUCCAAAGCAAGGAAGAAAAUGAAAUCCACCUUCAAGCUUCAAUCUCCACCAAUCCUUCCUCUAGCCUCCACUCUUGAGAGAGAGCUUCUAGAGAGAGAGGGGGAGAAAAAUGAGUGAAGGAGAUAUUUCCCUGGCUGUGAACAAGAAAGGGAGAGAUAGGGGCUUUUUAUAAGCUGCCACAAUUGCAGAAAAACCCCUCCUUUUCAUUCUAUUUGAAGCAGACCAAUUCUGCUGUUUCCUGCACUGGGUACCAGUACGGGGGUGGGCUUCACCGGUUAAGCCGCUUCGCAGAGGCCAAACCCGAGAGUUGCUAUCCUCGGUUUUCUGCGGGGUACCGGUACUACCCUGAUGCUUAACUAGUUAAGCAAUGCCCAGACUGCAGUUUGGCUCUUGCUCAACUCCAUUUCGCGCCGAGCAACGCUAAAACUUAAUAAUUUAGCUUGGAGUUCAACUUUAACCUUUCUAACAUUAUUGGAAUGUCACAUGGACCAUGUCCAAGCACCUUUCUCGCGACGCUUUGGUCAUUUUGACCAAAAGACGAGGAUUCAAUAUCUUACAGCAGGCUUGCAUAUAUUGUAUCUCUGUGGACCUUGGGUUCAGGCAACACAUCGACUCCUUUGUCGUGUUUUUUGAUCUGGUUGAUCGUGGUUCGGCGUUGUGCGCCUUUAUAUCUGGCUUCGGCGAAGGCACCGGCUUCAGCUGAUUUUCGCUUUGAGCAUAUCAGUAUGGCUUAGUCACAGCACUUGGGGGUAUUCAUGACAUCAGGCCACCGACCGGAAGUGUACUUAUCCGAAUGGGUCGUCCAGUGGGCGGAUGAAUCAGGUCGGUGCAGAUUUGUGACAGGCAGCGCUUGAGGUCUGCGGACCAACAUAGCAGGCACCAGAUUGGGUAUAGUUUUAGUUUGGUUACCUUGAGGCAUACUCGGCAUUAUUUUCUAUACAGUAGCAGUCUUUAUUACUUGUUUCUUAGCAUAUCUGCUAUAGCUACUGUAGUUCUUUUUGUAUCAUAGCACUUGUACUUUGUUUAUGUUAGGUCUUAUGUGUUGGCAAGUUUCGUGGGUCGAGUCGGAGUCUUGAAGAAGUUCGGAGCGGACUAUUGAAGAUCGAAGAAUCCAAGACUUCGAAGAAUCGAAAAGGACGUAAAACAUGCAAAACUUGAAUCACGAUGCGUUGG